Molecule: long non-coding RNA, 1963 nt
Organism: Salvelinus fontinalis (brook trout)
Lineage: Eukaryota; Metazoa; Chordata; Actinopteri; Salmoniformes; Salmonidae
Exons: 2
Source: RefSeq, a predicted model, not a curated record
GCGAUCUUAAUUGGUCCUUCUUGAAACGAGAACCAGAGGUCUCGUUUAAAAGCAAUGCACUUCAAGUGGUGAAAAAUACCAUGACGAUACCUCGGAUUAUCCUCACCCACCCCUCUACCUCAGACGAUGAUGUAGAUCCCUUGACACAGGACCCUGACAGUGAGGCAUCAGAGGACUUUGAAGAUCCUGACAGCCACAUCCAGUCUGAGUGCUUUAACAGUGCUUUCUAUCCCCCCUGACCACAUGCCUAAAGUUUGCCAUGUUGAAAACAACUGACUUGUUAUACACAAUCCACUGGGCACAGAUGUCAGUUCAACGUGUAGUUUUGAUUUACAUUUGGUUGAGUUGUCAAAUCAACAAAAAACGUCACCAUGUCAUUGGAUUUAGGUUCAAAGUUGGGUGGGGAAAAAAAUGAAAUUCCCUUGCGUUGAUUACUUUUUCCAAUCAGUUUUCCACGUUGAUUAAACGUCAACAUAUACAACAUUUUGGGUUGAAAUGAUGUGGGAACUGUCUUUUGUAUAGAUUGACUUGUUUAAAAAAUGAUAUUCCAGCUAAAGAUUUGUAUACGUGAUUAAGAAACUAGUAAAAAUAGCUUUUGUCCUUGCACUGCUAUUUUGGGAUGAUUUACACCACUGUUUUGUUGAAUUAAUGUUGAUGGCUGCUACAGUAAAUGGUAAGACCAUUGCAAGAAUUACCUCAUUGAACAAUGGGAGUCUUUGUUUUGGCACAACAAUAGACUUGUUUUGCAUUGCGUCAGCCACGUGGGAGACCAACCACAAUGAAUCAAGACAAAAAGAGUAUUGUUAUGCUCCAGCUUCUCUGUCUCUGAAAGGGAUAUUCACAUAACAAAGGAUAGUUAUUCAGAGGAAAAAUAUCUGUACGACACUUAAAAUCUGUUGUGCACUUUCAAUUUAGAAGUUUGUGUUCAGUUGGGCAAAGUGUUAUUCUUCUAGCUACCUCUACCAAUGAGCCACAUGUUUUGGCAAAUGGUAUGCCCCCUAGCCAUGAGAGAGAGAUGUCCUUUUACUCUCCCCAAUAGGAGCUUAGAUAAAAUGUCACAUGCCUGGAGUGACUAUACAGUGGGUGUGACAGUCCCUGCCGAGGCUCAGGAGACAGUUUGAACCCUGGCCCCCUUCUCCUAACACCUGCAACCCAAUGCUGUCUUUUCACCUGCUGGAAAUAUUUCUAAUGUAUGAAAGGCCAGUGAGUCUAGAUGUCAUAACCCAGUAUCUUAAUACUUCUAUACUUGUCUGAGUCACUCGGAAAGGAGUCUUUCAUGUAGUAGUUGUGGUGAUGUCUUAAAAUGUACUUUGAAUUAAGAGAGUGUGAUGUUAAGGAGAGAUAGCAAACCAAUUGAUUUCACACUUCUCAGGUUUGAUGCCUCACCAAUGCCUUUGGUAUUCUCACCUCCAUGUGUACACGAUGGCCACUUCUAAUGUUAUUUCUAGAAAAUUGUUUAUGAAGACUCUCACCUGAGAGAAUGUUCUUGCUUACUCUUCAGUCCAUGCUGAAAAGCACCAAUGUUCCUCAGUUUAGAUCAGGUUAUGAUAUGUCAGUUGUGACAGAAAUUAUUCUAGGCAGCAAAGCAAUAAACCUCAGUCUUCCUUGACAUUAUUCCAUCAAGUCUCUGCUGUCGCUGAAAGGUAGCAUUGGUAUACCAGCAGAGGAGAGGCUUAUUGUGGAAAUAAUGAAAGAUUUAUGUUGUGCCCACAUUUCCUGCAAGACUCUUAGCCAGAGUUUUUAGUUAUGCAUUGCCUCUGAAUAAAGAUACCUUGUUUACUGAUUCCAAUCUGUGUAAAAUCAAAGAAAGAAUUGUACUUAACCGGUUACCUGCUACUGUACUAGAAUGUGGAACACUUUAGACCUCACUUUCCUUGUAUGAUAUUAUUUUAUUUUGAUGUUCAUUCUCACCAUUCUUAUAUUGCCAAAUACUUAAUUUCUCAAUAAAAAGUUCUGAAAGUUU